Molecule: ribosomal RNA, 756 nt
Filed under: Paenibacillus sp. GSMTC-2017
Lineage: Bacteria; Bacillati; Bacillota; Bacilli; Caryophanales; Paenibacillaceae
Description: Bacterial large subunit ribosomal RNA
Source: Rfam by way of RNAcentral
CAUGAGCGCCAGCUUGUGUGGAGGCGACGUUGGGAUACCACCCUGAUCGUAUCGGAGUUCUAACCUACUACCGUGAAACCGGUAGAGGGACCGUGUCAGGCGGGCAGUUUGACUGGGGCGRUCGCCUCCUAAAAUGUAACGGAGGCGCCCAAAGGUUCCCUCAGAAUGGUUGGAAAUCAUUCGAAGAGUGCAAAGGCAUAAGGGAGCUUGACUGCGAGACCUACAAGUCGAGCAGGGACGAAAGUCGGGCUUAGUGAUCCGGUGGUACCGAAUGGAAGGGCCAUCGCUCAACGGAUAAAAGCUACCCUGGGGAUAACAGGCUUAUCUCCCCCAAGAGUCCACAUCGACGGGGAGGUUUGGCACCUCGAUGUCGGCUCAUCGCAUCCUGGGGCUGAAGUAGGUCCCAAGGGUUGGGCUGUUCGCCCAUUAAAGCGGUACGCGAGCUGGGUUCAGAACGUCGUGAGACAGUUCGGUCCCUAUCUGUCGCGGGCGUAGGAAAUUUGAGAGGAGCUGUCCUUAGUACGAGAGGACCGGGAUGGACGUACCGCUGGUGUACCAGUUGUUCCGCCAGGAGCACCGCUGGGUAGCCAAGUACGGACGGGAUAAGCGCUGAAAGCAUCUAAGCGUGAAGCCCCCCUCAAGAUGAGAUUUCCCAGUAUGUAAGACCCCUUGAAGACGACGAGGUUGAUAGGUUCGGGGUGGAAGUGCAGUAAUGUACGGAGCUGACGAAUACUAAUCGGUCGAGGGCUUAUCCUA